GAUGAAGAACGCAGCGAAAUGCGAUAAGUAAUGUGAAUUGCAGAGUUCAGUGAAUCAUCGAAUCUUUGAACGCACAUUGCGCCCGUCAGUAUUCUGACGGACAUGCCUGUCCGAGCGUCAUUUCAACCCUCAAGCACUGCUUGGCGUUGGCGGAUUGCGUGCCCUCGCGGCGCUGCAACCGCCCAAAUACAGUGGCGGUCCCGCUGCGGCUCCCUUUGCGUAGUAACUCACCUCGCACUGGACCGGGCGGCGGCCUGCCGUAAAACCCCAACUCACGAAAUGUUGACCUCGGAUCAGGUAGGAAUACCCGCUGAACUUAAGCAUAUCAAUAAGCGGAGGA
This 340-nucleotide unclassified non-coding RNA is filed under the name soil metagenome. Its description in RNAcentral is "partial contains 5.8S ribosomal RNA, internal transcribed spacer 2, and large subunit ribosomal RNA". The stretch from base 1 to 120 matches the Rfam family "5.8S ribosomal RNA", at positions 35 to 154 of the family's 154-position model. The record is from RNAcentral.